GACGAACGCUGACGGCGUGCUUAACACAUGCAAGUCGAACGGUGAGGCGCCUUCCUUUUUGGUGGGUGGGGAUCAGUGGAGAACGGGGGAGUAACACGUGAGUCACCUGCUCCCAUCUUCUGGAUAACCGCAUGACAGUGUGGCUACCACGGGAUAUUUUGAGUCUGUCGCUUGAUUGGUCUGGGAAGGAUAUUGUUUCGGUGGUGGAUGGGCUCGCGGCGUAUCAGCUUGUUGGUGGGGUGAUGGCCUACCAAGGCGGUGACGGGUAGCCGGCCUGAGAGGGUGGACGGUCAGGCAGGGACUGAGACACGGCCCAGACUCCUACGGGAGGCAGCAGUGAGAAUAUUGCACAAUGGGCGCAAGCCUGAUGCAGCGACGCGGCGUGAGGGAUGGAGGCCUGCGGGUUGUGAACCGCUUUCGCGAGUGAAGCAGGCUGGCCGCGUUUGUGCGUGGCUUGACGGUAGCUAGAUAAGAAGCGCCGGCUAACUACGUG
This 493-nucleotide ribosomal RNA is filed under the name uncultured bacterium. RNAcentral's name for it is "partial 16S ribosomal RNA". It matches the Rfam family "Bacterial small subunit ribosomal RNA", at positions 28 to 507 of the family's 1533-position model. The record is from RNAcentral.